This 425-nucleotide ribosomal RNA is filed under the name uncultured bacterium. Its description in RNAcentral is "bacterial SSU rRNA". It matches the Rfam family "Bacterial small subunit ribosomal RNA", at positions 356 to 773 of the family's 1533-position model. The record is from RNAcentral.
GGGGAAUUUUGGACAAUGGGCGAAAGCCUGAUCCAGCCAUGCCGCGUGAGUGAAGAAGGCCUUCGGGUUGUAAAGCUCUUUCAGACGGAAAGAAAUAGCCUCGGUGAAUAUCCGAGGUUGAUGACGGUACCGUAAGAAGAAGCACCGGCUAACUACGUGCCAGCAGCCGCGGUAAUACGUAGGGUGCGAGCGUUAAUCGGAAUUACUGGGCGUAAAGCGUGCGCAGGCGGUUACAUAAGACAGAUGUGAAAUCCCCGGGCUUAACCUGGGAACUGCGUUUGUGACUGUGUGACUAGAGUACGGUAGAGGGGGGUGGAAUUCCUGGUGUAGCAGUGAAAUGCGUAGAUAUCAGGAGGAACAUCGAUGGCGAAGGCAGCCCCCUGGACCUGUACUGACGCUCAUGCACGAAAGCGUGGGUAGCAAAC